GUAAAUCUUCAUUAACCCUAAAUAAAGUAAUAAAAGAACCGGGUAGUUUUACCAUUUUGAAUUUGGAAAGAACGGAGCUCCGGAAUGUGGCGGCGAAACGCAUUUCAGGAAAAUCCAGAUUCUGAUCAGAGCAUUUCUGACGAGGACGAUUUCGAUGAUGAUUUUCGAGAAAAUUGUGCUUCAUUAGGCGACCGCUUAGAAAAAGAGAAAGAGGAAAGGUUUCAACUUCAAUCAAGACUUGAAACACUUAAAGAAAAAUGUGAUAACAAUCGCUCGUACCAUCAAGAACACAUUAGUUUUUGUCUUGAAGAGGAUGUUGAAGUGCCUGACUCUUCCGAUGAGGGCAACUGCUUCCCCUCUGAGAAGUUAUGUAGAAGAGUUUCCUGUGAGGAACUGGUCUCUGAUGGUUUCCUUGGACAGGAGAAUGUUAUGCGCUCAAAGACAUUCAUUGCUUCUGGUGCUAAAGAAUCUGAUCAUAGUUAUGGAAUUAAGGAUGGAAAUGGGGAAAAUGCAUGGUCUAUGGUAACUAAAGAGGCUGAGGCACUAAUCAAUUUGGACAAAAAUGUUUCUAGCUUUUCUUCUGCCUCCAAAGCUGAUAAAUCUUGUAAAGGUGCCAAAAGCAAAAUUAAACCUAGAUUUUCAUUUUGCUUCCAAUCACAUAAAGGACGGUCUGCUACUUCAGAUAAUGAAAAUGAGGUGUCAACUAAGGCUGGUGAAAUGCCUGAAAGAUUGAAGGCCAGUGAUCAUGGAACCUUAGAGCAUUCAAUAGCUGAGGUUCUUGAAGAUUUCAAUGGAGAAGAGGAAAACCGGUUAGAGAUUGUUCCUGCUGAUGUAGAAGCUCAUGGUCAUGGAUUUAUUGAGCAUUCAAUGGCUGAGCUUUUAGAUGACCUUCAAGAUAAUACCAGUCUGCUAAGAGGGAAUUUUAAAAUGCAUAGCAGAGCAAGAGGAAAAAGGGUACAAGCUGCUCUCAAAAGAAGUAUAUGUUCACUCGGUGAUAGAACCAUUGAAAGUGAAGACCUCAAUGAGCCCUUCAGUGGUGGAUCAUCAAGCAAUGAUGAGGCUGAUUACCAAAAUCUAAAACUUGCCAUCCCUGAGAUAAAGAAGCCAACUAUUUCAGAUAAGUUUCAGGAAGCCUUAGGUGCCACCUCCUUGACUGCUGAAGGCACCUUUAUUCCUAGACCAGGAGCAUUCAGCACUGGACUAUUUGGAAAGUUGCAGCAGAUCAUGCAGCAAGAAAAGGAGACAGAUACGCAUUUUCUUAUGAAGUUACAGAAUGGAGCUAGCUUUAAAAAUGAGCCAAGCUGCAUUGCCGUGAACAUUGUUUCAAGAUAUUUGGAUGCAAAACUGACAGUCUGUUAUUGCUCUUUUGUCAAGACCAUAGAGGGUAUUUUGCAGUCGGAGAGCCCCAAAAUAUUGGAAAAUGAAGGACAAAAAGUAACUGUUAUUUUCAAUCAAAGAAUAUGUGCCAAUGUUGACCUUGAAAUUGGAAAGUUGAUUUGCAUUCACGCCCCAUGAACUGUACCACAUUUUACCCGCCUGAUACUAUACUGCAAGGAAUCAUUACACAUGAAGGAAGUUGAUGUCACUGGUGAUGGUGAGAAAACAAUUUUAUCUACAUAUUUCUCUGACAUCUCACUGUAACUAAUUUGGGCUUGUCUUUGAGGAAGUGGCUUUUUACAUCAUUCGUUCGAGUUCUAGACAAAGUCAUAUGAUCGCUUGAAAUGAUCGAAAGAGCCAUGCAAUUCGUUCUGUAAAUAAGCAUAUAUUUAGAUUUUAUGUUAGGAAAUUAAUGGGAACUGAAGUUUCUAAGCAUAAUAUUUGUUAUUGCAGGAUCAUUUAUAUAUAUAUAUUUGUUCUAGUGUUUGAAUUGUAUACCACUGUUUUUACUCUGGUUUUGAGCUUGGAUAUUGUAAAAGAAGUUAUAGAUGUCAAGAUACAAAGUAUUAUAAUGUAUUCGUGUUCAUUUACUUAAA
Molecule: RNA transcript, 1973 nt
Organism: Gossypium arboreum
Lineage: Eukaryota; Viridiplantae; Streptophyta; Magnoliopsida; Malvales; Malvaceae
Exons: 14
Source: RefSeq, a predicted model, not a curated record